AGCUGGUCCAAAGGUAGUGAGUUAUCUCAAUUGGAUGUUCAGCCAGUUCUAGAUUGAACUCGUUGUUCUACUCUUUCUCCCAGAUUCUCACUACUGCUCUUGACUAGUUUUAA
Molecule: unclassified non-coding RNA, 113 nt
Organism: Aotus nancymaae (Ma's night monkey)
Lineage: Eukaryota; Metazoa; Chordata; Mammalia; Primates; Aotidae
Rfam family: Y RNA
About the family: Y RNAs are components of the Ro ribonucleoprotein particle (Ro RNP), in association with Ro60 and La proteins.
Source: Ensembl